AUUAGACGAAUCAUCUGGAAAGAUGAAUCAAAGAAGGUAAUAAUCCUGUAGUCGAAAAUGUUGUCUCUCUUGAGUGGAUCCUGAGUACGACGGAGCACGUGAAAUUCCGUCGGAAUCUGGGAGGACCAUCUCCUAAGGCUAAAUACUCUCUAGUGACCGAUAGUGAACCAGUACCGUGAGGGAAAGGUGAAAAGCACCCCGGAAGGGGAGUGAAAUAGAACCUGAAACCGUGUGCUUACAAGUAGUCAGAGCCCGUUAAUGGGUGAUGGCGUGCCUUUUGUAGAAUGAACCGGCGAGUUACGAUUUGAUGCAAGGUUAAGCAGUAAAUGUGGAGCCGUAGCGAAAGCGAGUCUGAAUAGGGCGUUUAGUAUUUGGUCGUAGACCCGAAACCAGGUGAUCUACCCUUGGUCAGGUUGAAGUUCAGGUAACACUGAAUGGAGGACCGAACCGACUUACGUUGAAAAGUGAGCGGAUGAACUGAGGGUAGCGGAGAAAUUCCAAUCGAACCUGGAGAUAGCUGGUUCUCUCCGAAAUAGCUUUAGGGCUAGCCUCAAGUGAUGAUUAUUGGAGGUAGAGCACUGUUUGGACGAGGGGCCCCUCUCGGGUUACCGAAUUCAGACAAACUCCGAAUGCCAAUUAAUUUAACUUGGGAGUCAGAACAUGGGUGAUAAGGUCCGUGUUCGAAAGGGAAACAGCCCAGACCACCAGCUAAGGUCCCAAAAUAUAUGUUAAGUGGAAAAGGAUGUGGCGUUGCCCAGACAACUAGGAUGUUGGCUUAGAAGCAGCCAUCAUUUAAAGAGUGCGUAAUAGC
This 811-nucleotide ribosomal RNA is filed under the name Staphylococcus aureus. Its description in RNAcentral is "partial 23S ribosomal RNA". It matches the Rfam family "Bacterial large subunit ribosomal RNA", at positions 328 to 1141 of the family's 2925-position model. The record is from RNAcentral. Lineage: Bacteria; Bacillati; Bacillota; Bacilli; Caryophanales; Staphylococcaceae.